RNAcentral lists this ribosomal RNA (301 nucleotides) under uncultured bacterium. Its description in RNAcentral is "partial 16S ribosomal RNA". It matches the Rfam family "Bacterial small subunit ribosomal RNA", at positions 509 to 807 of the family's 1533-position model. The record is from RNAcentral.
CAGUAGCCGCGGGAAUACGUAGGGCGCAAGCGUUAUCCGGAAUUAUUGGGCGUAAAGAGCUCGUAGGCGGUUUGUCGCGUCUGCCGUGAAAGUCCGGGGCUCAACCCCGGAUCUGCGGUGGGUACGGGCAGACUAGAGUGAUGUAGGGGAGACUGGGAUUCCUGGUGUAGCGGUGAAAUGCGCAGAUAUCAGGAGGAACACCGAUGGCGAAGGCAGGUCUCUGGGCAUUAACUGACGCUGAGGAGCGAAAGCAUGGGGAGCGAACAGGAUUAGAUACCCCUGUAGUCCCUGUCUCUUAUAC